CAGCAGUGUGCAGCGUUUUACGGUAGGGCGUGUGGCCAGUGCUGUCGGGCUCGCGGCGGCUGCAGAUGGUGGAGUACCGGACUUGUGGUGGGCGCCCAUUCACAAGAUCUACAACAUCAUCUUUGCGUCAGUUCUCCAUGAAGGCCAUCCUGCGAUACAAGGUUGCGUCUUCCUGCUAUUUGGAUGACGACGCCGAGCCUGUCGGCCUAUGCCCAUCGCUUCGGAUGUGGUAAUGUGGCGGUCGUUGUUGUUUGCCUGCAGAGGCUGUGGAGAGGUGGGACUUGAAGAGUAUAUGUAGCAGAAAGGAUCCAAGUAUUGGAGCCAAACAACUGUCUAUGCUACCACAUCAAGGUGGGUUGAGGCAAACAGAGUGAGGACAGGAAUAUACAGUAGCAGAAAGACCAAGCAGCCUGGUAGCUCUUUCAUUGAACUAGAUGGAUGCGUGCAUGAGUUCUUUGCAGAGAACGAGUCACAUUUUGAAACUGAAGCUAUAUACAACACUGUUUUAGGGAUUAAUGAACUGUUAGUAGCAGAGUCCUUCCUGAUGUGAAAGCUAAUACAUUUCUAUGGUAACCAUACCUCAGUACCUAUGAUUCAAUAAUCUUCUUUUUGUGAAAUGAUGAAACCCGAAGUAUUUCUAUGUAUUUGCAUUUCUCUCUGAGGCGGGAAGUUUAUUUUCCAGACAUUUAUGUAAUGAGCCACUUAAUGUGCAACUGAGUGCACAUUGUUAUCAAAAUUUUAUUGGUCUAUCUGAGAUGUUUCCUUCUGGUAUUGCAAUUUAUGCUAGGUAAUACCCACAAUUUUUGCUGUGAUGUUACUACGUCAGAAAAUUAGCUGUCCACUGCGUCACUUAUUUGUUCUUCUCUCAUGUUCUUGUCUGACAGUUAUAUUUUUACUCCGAACUUACUAACCCAGCUUUGGUUUCUCUGGCUUAAACUAAUCUGGGAGUAGGGUAUCAUGUGCCCGCUCACCUAUUGGUGCGGCUGGUGGAUACAGAGAGAUCAACGAUGAGGAGACCCUCGUCGUUCUUCUGAUUGCAGCCAGUUGCGUGAUGUGAUGGCGGAGUUGUUCUGCAACCGCCUAGGGGCCAUCGACGAUGGAGAACUUCCUAACGCAGUAUGUGAGUGGGGACGAUGGAGAACUUCCUGGCGCAGUGUGCGCGCGAGUGGAUUUCAGGACAGUUCAUGAUACAAGGUCAAGCUCAGCUUGGUGUAACUUCCAAAUAUAUAUUGUGCCUCAGUUUGAGUUGCAUCCACAAGCAGCUCUCACUAAUUCCAAUACACCUUAAAUUGAUUUGGAUCAUUAGUGUUGGACUGUGGACAUAUAUCUAUAUCCGAUUGUACUCCGGGUGUUUUCAGUUCUGAAAUAUUUUUUGGCAAUUUGAUUCUGAAAUUUUAGCUUGAUGUUGAGAAAACGAGCAAAUUUUGUGGUGCACUUGGAUCUGGUUUUAUGCUUACAGUUUCAAGGGGAAACAUUCGGGGUUGUGAUCCAAGUAUAUGAAAUCAGUUUAUCUAAAUUGAGUUGUCGACAGUACAUCCUCUAAAUUAGCUUAUCUGAAAUCAGUUUGUUUUUAUUAAUUGUUGCACAGGGGACAUGAUAGCCAUGGCCAACUUUGAGCCCAGCAUCAAGUUGGAAAGCUUUAUCUGAGAUGUGUUUUUUAGCUAUGCCCUUUUAUGUCUUAGUUUGGUCUCUGAAUUUUUGGGCGGCGCUUAUCAUUUAAGAUCAACACAACAUUUUGCUUCAUUUGUGCUUCAAAGAAAGCUGCUGCAUAGGGACAUUUGAUGUGGUGGAUUUCAGAGAAUCAUUUUAGGGUAUUGCAUUUCGUUCAGAAAUUUUGACAUUUGGACAGUGUGUACAAUUGAAAGGAAUAGCUUGAUAUGAGUUAUGUAGGUUCAACGUUUCAACUUUUUGACAAUUUUUUAUGUUUAUCCUGGCAGAAAAGUGGAGCAGCUGUGUGAAGAGGUUGCUUAAUUGAAGGGAAUCAUCGAGAAGAUGUUAC
This 1999-nucleotide long non-coding RNA is filed under the name Triticum aestivum (bread wheat). Its description in RNAcentral is "long non-coding RNA (TAES_LNC012311)". Lineage: Eukaryota; Viridiplantae; Streptophyta; Magnoliopsida; Poales; Poaceae. The record is from RNAcentral.